GUACACGCUGUGACUAGCAUAUCAAUAAGCGGAGGAAAAGAAACUAACAAGGAUUCCCCUAGUAACGGCGAGUGAAGCGGGAAGAGCUCAAAUUUGAAAUCUUAAAGGGUUUCCCUUUACGAAUUGUAGUUUAAAGAAGUGUUUUCUGUUGAGGUUUUGGUAAAAGUUCUUUGGAAUAGGACAUCAUAGAGGGUGAGAAUCCCGUAUUUGACCUUUACUUUCAACUUUGUGAUACACUUUCAAAGAGUCGGAUUGUUUGGGAAUGCAGUCCAAAAUGGGUGGUAAAUUUCAUCUAAAGCUAAAUAUUGGCGAGAGACCGAUAGCGAACAAGUACCGUGAGGGAAAGAUGAAAAGAACUUUGAAAAGAGAGUUAAACAGUACGUGAAAUUGUCAAAAGGGAAGCGUUUGACACCAGUGUUGUUUUUCUGAAAAUCAAUUAAAGAACUGUUUAUGCUAAGUUGUUUAGACUUUAUCAGCUAUCUGUUUAGUUUUGAGCAUUUCUUUAAUGCACUUUUCAGUUAACAAGUCAACAUCAAUUUCUUUUGCUGUAAAAAAGCUUGAGGAAGGUGGCUUGAGAUUCGUCUUAAGUGUUUAUAGCCUCUUGCCUAUGCAGUCGGAGAGAUUGAGGUCCGCAGCGUAGAUCCUUCGGGGCUAAAUGCAUUUGUGCUAAGUUAUAGCAUUUUAUAGACAACUUGUUGACUAUGAUUUGUCUUGUAGCUUACUCGCUUAUGUUAUUUUACCUACGCUUAGGAUGUUGAUAUGCCAUGACUGAUAU
Molecule: ribosomal RNA, 775 nt
Filed under: uncultured Neocallimastigales
Lineage: Eukaryota; Fungi; Neocallimastigomycota; Neocallimastigomycetes; Neocallimastigales
Description: partial large subunit ribosomal RNA
Rfam family: Eukaryotic large subunit ribosomal RNA
Source: RNAcentral